GCCCUAAUAAGGUGAAACCGCGAAUGGCUCAUUAAAUCAGUCAUGGUUCCUUAGAACAUACCAUCCUUCUUGGAUAACUGUGGUAAUUCUAGAGCUAAUACAUGCAACAGAGCUCCGACCCUUGUGGAACGAGCGCUUUUAUUAGACCAAAGACCAAUCGGAGCUUCGGCCCCGUCAGUCUGUGGUGACUCUGGAUAACUUUUAGCGGAUCGCACGGUCAUCGUGCCGGCGACUCCUCUUUCAAAUGUCUGCCUUAUCAACUUUCGAUGGUAGGUUAAUUGCCUACCAUGGUUGUAACGGGUGACGGGGAAUCAGGGUUCGAUUCCGGAGAGGGAGCCUGAGAAACGGCUACCACAUCCAAGGAAGGCAGCAGGCACGCAAAUUACCCACUCCCAGUACGGGGAGGUAGUGACGAAAAAUAACAAUGCGGGACUCUUACGAGGCCCCGUAAUUGGAAUGAGUCCACUUUAAAUCCUUUAACGAGGACCUAUUGGAGGGCAAGUCUGGUGCCAGCAGCCGCGGUAAUUCCAGCUCCAAUAGCGUAUACUAAAGUUGUUGCGGUUAAAAAGCUCGUAGUUGGAUGUCAGUCGCGGGCGGGCGGUCCACCGUUUUGGUGGUUUACUGCUCGUCCCGCGACCUACUGGCCGGCCUCCCCCGCUAUGCUCUUCACCGGGUGUGGCGGGUGGCCGGAAAGUUUACUUUGAAAAAAUUAGAGUGCUCUAAGCAGGUGCUUGCCGCCUGAAUAACACAGCAUGGAAUAAUGGAAUAGGACCUCGGUUCUAUUUUGUUGGUUUUCGGAAUUCCGAGGUAAUGAUUAAUAGGGACAGACGGGGGCA
Molecule: ribosomal RNA, 836 nt
Filed under: Tylopus sp. 2 ADN-2017
Lineage: Eukaryota; Metazoa; Arthropoda; Diplopoda; Polydesmida; Paradoxosomatidae
Description: SSU rRNA
Rfam family: Eukaryotic small subunit ribosomal RNA
Source: RNAcentral